RNAcentral lists this ribosomal RNA (253 nucleotides) under uncultured bacterium. Its description in RNAcentral is "partial 16S ribosomal RNA". It matches the Rfam family "Bacterial small subunit ribosomal RNA", at positions 524 to 776 of the family's 1533-position model. The record is from RNAcentral.
UACGUAGGUGGCAAGCGUUAUCCGGAAUUAUUGGGCGUAAAGCGUCCGCAGGUGGUUGUUCAAGUCUGCUGUUAAAGCGCGAGGCUUAACCUUGUACAGGCAGUGGAAACUGAGCGACUAGAGUAUGGUAGGGGUAGCGGGAAUUCCCAGUGUAGCGGUGAAAUGCGUAGAUAUUGGGAAGAACACCAGCGGCGAAAGCGCGCUACUGGGCCAUUACUGACACUCAUGGACGAAAGCUAGGGGAGCGAAAGGG